GCCUUCGUGGUGUAAUGGUCAGCACACUCGGCGUGCAUUCGAGAGGUCUAAGGUUCGAGUCCCGGCGAGGGCA
Molecule: transfer RNA, 73 nt
Filed under: Stegodyphus mimosarum
Lineage: Eukaryota; Metazoa; Arthropoda; Arachnida; Araneae; Eresidae
Rfam family: tRNA
About the family: Transfer RNA (tRNA) molecules are approximately 80 nucleotides in length.
Source: Rfam by way of RNAcentral